GGUUGCCACAAUGUAGCGUGUAAUCAUGUCACAAUGGUUGGUGGCUUUUACCUUCGUUAAUUGAUAUUUAUCUAGCACACUCUUUGUUCAAAUCCUGAGUCCGCCACUGGCUGGAGCCACCGCCGUCGGCCUGGGCUGUGCCUCCCUCGCUAGCCUCCCCUAUGCCCCCAUUUUGCCUCCUCCGGACUGCAGGACCCCAGCACCCGACCCCGCGCCUGGACGCCGUCGCCCAACGACGCCGCUGCCUAACGCCGCCAGCACGGACGACGCGCGACCCAAGCUAGACGCCGCCUCAACUUGCCUGACGUCGCCCCCUCCAAAUCCAAAAUGUAGGCCCGACGCCGGUUCCCUCCGCCGCACCGUACAGAUUCCGAAGUGACUUGAAGAGGAUAGAGGAGAUUUAGUUACAAGUUCAGAGAUGCACUUGAUCAGACAAUUUCGGAGAUGCACAAUAGUAUUUCUCCUUCAGGUGUUGAUGUGCAGACCAUAAACUAGUAUUGACUGUUCAUUUUUUAUGUUACCAAUAACUCUAUUCAGACUCAUAUAAAGUUUCACUUGUAUAAAUAUUGUGUAAGCAGUGACAAAAAUGUGUGUAAAAUAUCACUGCAAAAAUGUGUGUGAAGCUUGUAAAAAAUUUACAUGAAA
Long non-coding RNA from Phragmites australis (common reed), 645 nucleotides. RefSeq lists it as uncharacterized. The transcript is spliced from 3 exons. The record is from RefSeq and is a predicted model, not a curated record. NCBI's taxonomy places the organism in Eukaryota, Viridiplantae, Streptophyta, Magnoliopsida, Poales, Poaceae.